UGACACUAACUUAAUAACAUUUAAAUAAAUCCAAAUAAUUAAUUACAGAAAUGUUACUAAAACGUUUAUUUAGAAGUACUUUAACAUUCAAUAAAUACAAGAAGUUAUGUUCAAAUUUUAAACACAAAUAUAGCCAAAAACCGCAACAAGCAUUGAUUUAAGCGAAAUUCCAUUAGAACGGAUUCGAAAUUUUAGUAUAAUUGCGCAUAUUGAUCAUGAGAAAACCACAUUAUCUGAUAAAGUUUUAGAAUUUAUGUUGGCUAUUUCACAUAAAUCGGGAGAAAGUCAA
Molecule: unclassified non-coding RNA, 289 nt
Filed under: Onthophagus taurus
Lineage: Eukaryota; Metazoa; Arthropoda; Insecta; Coleoptera; Scarabaeidae
Description: translation factor GUF1 homolog, mitochondrial-like, transcript variant X2
Source: RNAcentral